CCGUCUAAGGUGGGACAGAUGAUUGGGGUGAAGUCGUAACAAGGUAGCCGUAUCGGAAGGUGCGGCUGGAUCACCUCCUUU
Molecule: ribosomal RNA, 81 nt
Filed under: Metabacillus litoralis
Lineage: Bacteria; Bacillati; Bacillota; Bacilli; Caryophanales; Bacillaceae
Also listed under: 1 other name
Description: partial 16S ribosomal RNA
Rfam family: Bacterial small subunit ribosomal RNA
Source: RNAcentral